This 6811-nucleotide long non-coding RNA is filed under the name Gadus morhua (Atlantic cod). RNAcentral's name for it is "lncRNA (ENSGMOG00000023807.1)". Lineage: Eukaryota; Metazoa; Chordata; Actinopteri; Gadiformes; Gadidae. The record is from RNAcentral.
AAACAAGAUCUCAAUACGGAAAAGGAAGCAGUACACAGGCAAAGCAAAUAUCUGGACACAGUUAAAGAAACAAUCAACAAAGACAACCUUGAUUUGGAUAUCAUGAGGUCUGAAAUCCAGAAAGAAACAGAGGCACUGGAAAGAGAGAAAGAAAAGAUCCGGGAACAAACUGAGAUACUAGAAAGAGAUCAAUCUUUUGUGAUAGUAGAAAAAGAAAGACUUGAAAUGGCAAAGGCGGAACUCCAAGAAAAGCAAGACAAAGUUCACGGUCUACAGAGCGAUUUGAACAGUGACAGAGAAAAGAUGGACCAUUUACUUCUUGAAGGCCAAAAGAAAAUCCAAGAACUUCAUAAAGAGAUACAACACAUGAACCAAAAACAGAAACAACAAGAGCUUCUAGACAGUGACCUGAAACGAUUGACUGAUGAUCUCCAAAUUGGGCAGGAAAAUCUAAUAAAACAACAGGAGGAAGUUCAACGUUUUAAGAGUGAUGUCAUGAAUAAGAAGGAGGAGCUUAAAGUGAUCAUGGAAAGAAUCUUUGAAGAGACAGCACAGCUUGAACAAGAGAAGCUUGAUAUUCAUGAAGAGCGAAGAAAGGCCUUGGACGAAAGGACGAUGCUAGAAAGAGAUUGGUCGGAAGUAAGGAUGAGAGAAGAAGAGGCCAUGCAAACGAUAAGACACAACAAAAAUAUGAAAGAGGCAAUAAAAGAGUUGGUUGAAAAGACACAUCAAGACAUUACAAUGAAGAUGCAAUUCAUAGAGCAGAAUAUUCUGGAUGCACAAAAUCAGACAACUAACUUGGAAAUUCAGCAAAAAGAAAUGGAAGAGCAGAAAUUGGAGAUUGACACACAUUUUGAACAAAUACAAAGACACAGAGAAGAUCUGAUCUAUAUGAAAUCGGACAUGAUGAUACAAAAAGAAGAAAUGCAAAAGAAUUGGAACGAGGAGCUGCUAUUGGAGAAACAAGAUCUCAACACGGAAAAGGAAGCAGUAGACAGGCAAAGCAAAUAUCUGGACACAGUUAAAGAAACAAUCAACAAAGACAACCUUGAUUUGGAUAUCAUGAGGUCUGAAAUCCAGAAAGAAACAGAGGCACUGGAAAGAGAGAAAGAAAAGAUCCGGGAACAAACUGAGAUACUAGAAAGAGAUCAAUCUUUUGUGAAAGUAGAAAAAGAAAGACUUGAAAUGGCAAAGGCGGAACUCCAAGAAAAGCAAGACAAAGUUCACGGUCUACAGAGCGAUUUGAACAGUGACAGAGAAAAGAUGGACCAUUUACUUCUUGAAGGCCAAAAGAAAAUCCAAGAACUUCAUAAAGAGAUACAACACAUGGCCCAAAAACAGAAACAACAAGAGCUUCUAGACAGUGACCUGAAACGAUUGACUGAUGAUCUCCAAAUUGGGCAGGAAAAUCUAAUAAAACAACAGGAGGAAGUUCAACGUUUUAAGAGUGAUGUCAUGAAUAAGAAGGAGGAGCUUAAAGUGAUCAUGGAAAGAAUCUUUGAAGAGACAGCACAGCUUGAACAAGAGAAGCUUGAUAUUCAUGAAGAGCGAAGAAAGGCCUUGGACGAAAGGACGAUGCUAGAAAGAGAUUGGUCGGAAGUAAGGAUGAGAGAAGAAGAGGCCAUGCAAACGAUAAGACACAACACAAAUAUGAAAGAGGCAAUAAAAGAGUUGGUUGAAAAGACACAUCAAGACAUUACAAUGAAGAUGCAAUUCAUAGAGCAGAAGAUUCUGGAUGCACAAAAUCAGACAACUAACUUGGAAAUUCAGCAAAAAGAAAUGGAAGAGCAGAAAUUGGAGAUUGAAACAAACUUUGAACAAAUACAAAGACACAGAGAAGAUCUGAUCAAUAUGAGAUCCGACAUGAUGGUACAAAAAAAAGAAAUGCAAAAGAAUUGGAACGAGGAGCUGCUACUGGAGAAACAAGAUCUCAAUACGGAAAAGGAAGCAGUAGACAGGCAAAGCAAAUAUCUGGACACAGUUAAAGAAACAAUCAACAAAGACAACCUUGAUUUGGAUAUCAUGAGGUCUGAAAUCCAGAAAGAAACAGAGGCACUGGAAAGAGAGGAAGAAAAGAUCCGGGAACAAACUGAGAUACUAGAAAGAGAUCAAUCUUUUGUGAUAGUAGAAAAAGAAAGACUUGAAAUGGCAAAGGCGGAACUCCAAGAAAAGCAAGACAAAGUUCACGGUCUACAGAGCGAUUUGAACAGUGACAGAGAAAAGAUGGACCAUUUACUUCUUGAAGGCCAAAAGAAAAUCCAAGAACUUCAUAAAGAGAUACAACACAUGGCCCAAAAACAGAAACAACAAGAGCUUCUAGACAGUGACCUGAAACAAUUGACUGAUGAUCUCCAAAUUGGGCAGGAAAAUCUAAUUAAACAACAGGAGGAAGUUCAACGUUUUAAGAGUGAUGUCAUGAAUAAGAAGGAGGAGCUUAAAGUGAUCAUGGAAAGAAUCUUUGAAGAGACAGCACAGCUUGAACAAGAGAAGCUUGAUAUUCAUGAAGAGCGAAGAAAGGCCUUGGACGAAAGGACGAUGCUAGAAAGAGAUUUGUCGGAAGUAAGGAUGAGAGAAGAAGAGGCCAUGCAAACGAUAAGACACAACACAAAUAUGAAAGAGGCAAUAAAAGAGUUGGUUGAAAAGACACAUCAAGACAUUACAAUGAAGAUGCAAUUCAUAGAGCAGAAGAUUCUCGAUGCACAAAAUCAGACAACUAACUUGGAAGUUCAGCAAAAAGAAAUGGAAGAGCAGAAAUUGGAGAUUGACACACACUUUGAACAAAUACAAAGACACAGGGAAGAUCUGAUCAAUUUGAAAUCGGACAUGAUGGUACAAAAACAAGAAAUGCAAAAGAAUUGGAACGAGGAGCUGCUACUGGAGAAACAAGAUCUCAAUACGGAAAAGGAAGCAGUAGACAGGCAAAGCAAAUAUCUGGACACAGUUAAAGAAACAAUCAACAAAGACAACCUUGACUUGGAUAUCAUGAGGUCUGAAAUCCAGAAAGAAACAGAGGCACUGGAAAGAGAGAAAGAAAAGAUCCGGGAACAAACUGAGAUACUAGAAAGAGAUCAAUCUUUUGUGAUAGUAGAAAAAGAAAGACUUGAAAUGGCAAAGGCGGAACUCCAAGAAAAGCAAGACAAAGUUCACGGUCUACAGAGCGAUUUGAACAGUGACAGAGAAAAGAUGGACCAUUUACUUCUUGAAGGCCAAAAGAAAAUCCAAGAACUUCAUAAAGAGAUCCAACACAUGAACCAAAAACAGAAACAACAAGAGCUUCUAGACAGUGAACUGAAACGAUUGACUGAUGAUCUCCAAAUUGGGCAGGAAAAUCUAAUAAAACAACAGGAGGAAGUUCAACGUUUUAAGAGUGAUGUCAUGAAUAAGAAGGAGGAGCUUAAAGUGAUCAUGGAAAGAAUCUUUGAAGAGACAGCACAGCUUGAACAAGAGAAGCUUGAUAUUCAUGAAGAGCGAAGAAAGGCCUUGGACGAAAGGACGAUGCUAGAAAGAGAUUGGUCGGAAGUAAGGAUGAGAGAAGAAGAGGCCAUGCAAACGAUAAGACACAACACAAAUAUGAAAGAGGCAAUAAAAGAGUUGGUUGAAAAGACACAUCAAGACAUUACAAUGAAGAUGCAAUUCAUAGAGCAGAAUAUUCUGGAUGCACAAAAUCAGACAACUAACUUGGAAAUUCAGCAAAAAGAAAUGGAAGAGCAGAAAUUGGAGAUUGACACACAUUUUGAACAAAUACAAAGACACAGAGAAGAUCUGAUCUAUAUGAAAUCGGACAUGAUGAUACAAAAAGAAGAAAUGCAAAAGAAUUGGAACGAGGAGCUGCUACUGGAGAAACAAGAUCUCAACACGGAAAAGGAAGCAGUAGACAGGCAAAGCAAAUAUCUGGACACAGUUAAAGAAACAAUCAACAAAGACAACCUUGAUUUGGAUAUCAUGAGGUCUGAAAUCCAGAAUGAAACAGAGGCACUGGAAAGAGAGAAAGAAAAGAUCCGGGAACAAACUGAGAUACUAGAAAGAGAUCAAUCUUUUGUGAAAGUAGAAAAAGAAAGACUUGAAAUGUCAAAGGCGGAACUCCAAGAAAAGCAAGACAAAGUUCAUGGUCUACAGAGCGAUUUGAACAGUGACAGAGAAAAGAUGGACCAUUUACUUCUUGAAGGCCAAAAGAAAAUCCAAGAACUUCAUAAAGAGAUACAACACAUGGCCCAAAAACAGAAACAACAAGAGCUUCUAGACAGUGACCUGAAACGAUUGACUGAUGAUCUCCAAAUUGGGCAGGGAAAUCUAAUAAAACAACAGGAGGAAGUUCAACGUUUUAAGAGUGAUGUCAUGAAUAAGAAGGAGGAGCUUAAAGUGAUCAUGGAAAGAAUCUUUGAAGAGACAGCACAGCUUGAACAAGAGAAGCUUGAUAUUCAUGAAGAGCGAAGAAAGGCCUUGGACGAAAGGACGAUGCUAGAAAGAGAUUUGUCUGAAGUAAGGAUGAGAGAAGAAGAGGCCAUGCAAACGAUAAGACACAACACAAAUAUGAAAGAGGCAAUAAAAGAGUUGGUUGAAAAGACACAUCAAGACAUUACAAUGAAGAUGCAAUUCAUAGAGCAGAAGAUUCUCGAUGCACAAAAUCAGACAACUAACUUGGAAGUUCAGCAAAAAGAAAUGGAAGAGCAGAAAUUGGAGAUUGACACACACUUUGAACAAAUACAAAGACACAGGGAAGAUCUGAUUAAUCUGAAAUCGGACAUGAUGGUACAAAAACAAGAAAUGCAAAAGAAUUGGAACGAGGAGCUGCUACUGGAGAAACAAGAUCUCAAUACGGAAAAGGAAGCAGUAGACAGGCAAAGCAAAUAUCUGGACACAGUUAAAGAAACAAUCAACAAAGACAACCUUGACUUGGAUAUCAUGAGGUCUGAAAUCCAGAAAGAAACAGAGGCACUGGAAAGAGAGAAAGAAAAGAUCCGGGAACAAACUGAGAUACUAGAAAGAGAUCAAUCUUUUGUGAUAGUAGAAAAAGAAAGACUUGAAAUGGCAAAGGCGGAACUCCAAGAAAAGCAAGACAAAGUUCACGGUCUACAGAGCGAUUUGAACAGUGACAGAGAAAAGAUGGACCAUUUACUUCUUGAAGGCCAAAAGAAAAUCCAAGAACUUCAUAAAGAGAUACAACACAUGGCCCAAAAACAGAAACAACAAGAGCUUCUAGACAGUGACCUGAAACGAUUGACUGAUGAUCUCCAAAUUGGGCAGGAAAAUCUAAUAAAACAACAGGAGGAAGUUCAACGUUUUAAGAGUGAUGUCCUGAAUAAGAAGGAGGAGCUUAAAGUGAUCAUGGAAAGAAUCUUUGAAGAGACAGCACAGCUUGAACAAGAGAAGCUUGAUAUUCAUGAAGAGCGAAGAAAGGCCUUGGACGAAAGGACGAUGCUAGAAAGAGAUUGGUCGGAAGUAAGGAUGAGAGAAGAAGAGGCCAUGCAAACGAUAAGACACAACACAAAUAUGAAAGAGGCAAUAAAAGAGUUGGUUGAAAAGACACAUCAAGACAUUACAAUGAAGAUGCAAUUCAUAGAGCAGAAGAUUCUGGAUGCACAAAAUCAGACAACUAACUUGGAAAUUCAGCAAAAAGAAAUGGAAGAGCAGAAAUUGGAGAUUGAAACAAACUUUGAACAAAUACAAAGACACAGAGAAGAUCUGAUCAAUAUGAGAUCCGACAUGAUGGUACAAAAACAAGAAAUGCAAAAGAAUUGGAACGAGAAGCUGCUACUGGAGAAACAAGAUCUCAAUACGGAAAAGGAAGCAGUAGACAGGCAAAGCAAAUAUCUGGACACAGUUAAAGAAACAAUCAACAAAGACAACCUUGAUUUGGAUAUCAUGAGGUCUGAAAUCCAGAAAGAAACAGAGGCACUGGAAAGAGAGAAAGAAAAGAUCCGGGAACAAACUGAGAUACUAGAAAGAGAUCAAUCUUUUGUGAUAGUAGAAAAAGAAAGACUUGAAAUGGCAAAGGCGGAACUCCAACAAAAGCAAGACAAAGUUCACGGUCUACAGAGCGAUUUGAACAGUGACAGAGAAAAGAUGGACCAUUUACUUCUUGAAGGCCAAAAGAAAAUCCAAGAACUUCAUAAAGAGAUACAACACAUGGCCCAAAAACAGAAACAACAAGAACUUCAUAAAGAGAUACAACACAUGGCCCAAAAACAGAAACAACAAGAGCUUCUAGACAGUGACCUGAAACGAUUGACUGAUGAUCUCCAAAUUGGGCAGGAAAAUCUAAUAAAACAACAGGAGGAAGUUCAACGUUUUAAGAGUGAUGUCAUGAAUAAGAAGGAGGAGUUUAAAGUGAUCAUGGAAAGAAUCUUUGAAGAGACAGCACAGCUUGAACAAGAGAAGCUUGAUAUUCAUGAAGAGCGAAGAAAGGCCUUGGACGAAAGGACGAUGCUAGAAAGAGAUUUGUCGGAAGGAAGGAUGAGAGAAGAAGAGGCCAUGCAAACGAUAAGACACAACACAAAUAUGAAAGAGGCAAUAAAAGAGCUGGUUGAAAAGACACAUCAAGACAUUACAAUGAAGAUGCAAUUCAUAGAGCAGAAGAUUCUGGAUGCACAAAAUCAGACGACUAACUUGGAAUUCCAGCAAAAAGAAAUGGAAGAGCAAAAAUUGGAGAUUGACACACACUUUGAACAAAUACAAAGACACGGAGAAGAUCUGAUCAAUAUGACAUCGGACAUGAUGGUACAAAAACAAGAAAUGCAAAAGAAUUGGAACGAGGAGCUGCUACUGGAGAAACAAGAUCUCAAUACGGAAAAGGAAGCAGUAGUCCGACAAA